Long non-coding RNA from Dermacentor silvarum, 345 nucleotides. RefSeq lists it as uncharacterized. Lineage: Eukaryota; Metazoa; Arthropoda; Arachnida; Ixodida; Ixodidae. The transcript has 3 exons. The record is from RefSeq and is a predicted model, not a curated record.
CGUGAUCACGUUGUGAACCUCGCCACGCUCCGCGUUUUUGGGACAACCGUCACUUCUGCCAAGUUAUAGAGCCGUUAAGGGAGCCCUUCUUGCCUCUUUGUUGUAUCCACGAAAGGAGAGACAUGCCCAAAGACAGCAAAGCGCCGCCGUCGCCAUCAGACGAGGAGCUACGCGCCCGCGCCUUAGAAGGGGAACGCUUGAAGUUGUUGCAGCAACUCCUCAUGGAUAUGUUACGGUGGACUCGUCGAAAGAUGGAAAUACUCCAGGAGCUUGUCGAAUCCCUGGAAAAUCUGGAAUAGUCGCAUACAGUGUGACUCCUCUCACUUUUUUUUUUUUUCAAAUGUA